CGGCGAACGGGUGAGUAACACGUGGGCAACCUGCCCUUGGCUCUGGGAUAACUCCGGGAAACCGGGGCUAAUACCGGAUACGACCACUGAUGACAUCUUCUGGUGGUGGAAAGAAUUUCGGCCAAGGAUGGGCCCGCGGCCUAUCAGCUUGUUGGUGGGGUAAUGGCCUACCAAGGCGACGACGGGUAGCCGGCCUGAGAGGGCGACCGGCCACACUGGGACUGAGACACGGCCCAG
RNAcentral lists this ribosomal RNA (237 nucleotides) under uncultured Actinomycetales bacterium. Its description in RNAcentral is "partial 16S ribosomal RNA". It matches the Rfam family "Bacterial small subunit ribosomal RNA", at positions 96 to 334 of the family's 1533-position model. Lineage: Bacteria; Bacillati; Actinomycetota; Actinomycetes; Actinomycetales. The record is from RNAcentral.